Molecule: ribosomal RNA, 254 nt
Filed under: uncultured bacterium
Lineage: Bacteria
Description: partial 16S ribosomal RNA
Rfam family: Bacterial small subunit ribosomal RNA
Source: RNAcentral
UACGUAGGGGGCUAGCGUUGUCCGGAAUUAUUGGGCGUAAAGAGCUCGUAGGCGGUUUGUCGCGUCUGCCGUGAAAGUCCGGGGCUCAACUCCGGAUCUGCGGUGGGUACGGGCAGACUAGAGUGAUGUAGGGGGAGACUGGAAUUCCUGGUGUAGCGGUGAAAUGCGCAGAUAUCAGGAGGAACACCGGUGGCGAAGGCGGGACUCUGGGCCGAUACUGACGCUGAGGAGCGAAAGCGUGGGGAGCAAACAGG